AGUGAACGCUGGCGGUAGGCCUAACACAUGCAAGUCGAACGGCAGCACAGUAAGAGCUUGCUCUUACGGGUGGCGAGUGGCGGACGGGUGAGGAAUACAUCGGAAUCUACUUUUUCGUGGGGGAUAACGUAGGGAAACUUACGCUAAUACCGCAUACGACCUAUGGGUGAAAGCAGGGGAUCUUCGGACCUUGCGCGAUUGAAUGAGCCGAUGUCGGAUUAGCUAGUUGGCGGGGUAAAGGCCCACCAAGGCGACGAUCCGUAGCUGGUCUGAGAGGAUGAUCAGCCACACUGGAACUGAGACACGGUCCAGACUCCUACGGGAGGCAGCAGUGGGGAAUAUUGGACAAUGGGCGCAAGCCUGAUCCAGCCAUACCGCGUGGGUGAAGAAGGCCUUCGGGUUGUAAAGCCCUUUUGUUGGGAAAGAAAAGCAGCAGGUUAAUACCCCGCUGUUCUGACGGUACCCAAAGAAUAAGCACCGGCUAACCUCGUG
RNAcentral lists this ribosomal RNA (492 nucleotides) under uncultured bacterium. RNAcentral's name for it is "partial 16S ribosomal RNA". It matches the Rfam family "Bacterial small subunit ribosomal RNA", at positions 29 to 507 of the family's 1533-position model. The record is from RNAcentral.